AGUAAAAGUCGUAACAAGGUUUCCGUAGGUGAACCUGCGGAAGGAUCAUUAACGAGUUUUGAAAGGGGUUGUAGCUGGCUUCAAACGAGGCAAUGUGCACACCCUGCUCAUCCACUCUCAACCUCUGUGCACCUAUUGUAGGUCGGUCGAUGGCUCGGUGGGCAACCACUGGGUUUGAAGCCUUCCUAUGUUUUACUACAAACGCUUCAGUUAUAGAAUGUUACACUGCGUAUAACGCAUUUAUAUACAACUUUCAGCAACGGAUCUCUUGGCUCUCGCAUCGAUGAAGAACGCAGCGAAAUGCGAUAAGUAAUGUGAAUUGCAGAAUUCAGUGAAUCAUCGAAUCUUUGAACGCACCUUGCGCUCCCUGGUAUUCCGGGGAGCACGCCCGUUUGAGUGUCAUGGUAUUCUCAACCUCAACAGCUUGCUGUUGAAGGCUUGGACUUGGAGGUUUGUGCUGGCUCUCGUUAGUCGGCUCCUCUUAAAUGCAUUAGCGUGAACGUGCUACGGAUCGCUAUCAGUGUGAUAAUUAUCUGCGCUAUUAGUGUUGAGGUACAGUAAGCUCGCGCUUCUAACCGUCCUUCAGUUGGACACAUCUACUUUUGACAUCUGACCUCAAAUCGGGCGGGACUACCCGCUGAACUUAAGCAUAUCAAUAAGCGGAGGAAAAGAAACUAACAAAGAUUCCCCUAGUAACUGCGAGUGAAGCGGGAAAAGCUCAAAUU
This 725-nucleotide ribosomal RNA is filed under the name uncultured fungus. Its description in RNAcentral is "eukaryotic LSU rRNA". The stretch from base 249 to 402 matches the Rfam family "5.8S ribosomal RNA". Lineage: Eukaryota; Fungi. The record is from RNAcentral.